CGAGUCCGAGGAGCUAAGGCUCCAAAGUGAUGCGAGUCAGACUUCCCAGAAAAGCCCGAACCACGUUAAUUUCUAAUUACCUGUACCCGAAACCGACACAGGUGGGUAGGUAGAGUAUACUAAGGGGCGCGAGAUAACUCUCUCUAAGGAACUCGGCAAAAUGACUCCGUAACUUCGGGAGAAGGAGUGCCUUAUUUAUAAGGUUGCAAUAACAAGAUCCAAGCAACUGUUUAUCAAAAACACAGGUCUCCGCUAAGUCGUAAGACGAUGUAUGGGGGCUGACGCCUGCCCAGUGCCAGAAGGUUAAAGAAGUUGGUUAGUGUAUGCGAAGCUGAUGACUGAAGCCCUGGUGAACGGCGGCCGUAACGAUAACGGUCCUAAGGUAGCGAAAUUCCUUGUCGGGUAAGUUCCGACCCGCACGAAAGGCGUAAUGAUUUGGAUACUGUCUCGGAGAGAGGCUCGGUGAAAUAGACUUGUCUGUGAAGAUGCGGACUACCUGCACCAGGACAGAAAGACCCUAUGAAGCUUUACUGUAACUUGAAAUUGGAAUUGGACUUUGCUUGCGCAGUAUAGGUGGGAAGCGUUGAAGAUAUUCUUGCGGGAGUAUUGGAGCUAUCAGUGAGAUACCACUCUUGUAAUGUUAGAUUUCUAACUUUGAACCAUAAUCUGGUCAAAGAACAGUUUCAGGUGGGCAGUUUGACUGGGGCGGUCGCCUCCCAAAUGGUAACGGAGGCGUACAAAGGUUUCCUCUGAACGGAUAGAAAUCGUAUCUAGAGUGUAAAGGCAUAAGGAAGCUUGACUGUGAGACCUACAAGUCGAGCAGGGACGAAAGUCGGUCUUAGUGAUCUGACGGUACUGAGUGGAAAGGCCGUCACUCAACGGAUAAAAGUUACUCUAGGAUAACAGGCUGAUCUCCCCCAAGAGUUCACAUCGACGGGGAGGUUUGGCACCUCGAUGUCGGCUCAUCGCAUCCUGGGGCGGUAGUACGUCCCAAGGGUUGGGCUGUUCGCCCAUGAAAGCGGUACGCGAGCUGGGUUCAGAACGUCGUGAGACAGUUCGGUCCAUAUCCGGUGUAGGCGUUAGAAUAUUGAGAGGAGCCUUCUUUAGUACGAGAGGACCGAGAAGGACACACCGCUGGUGUACCAGUUAUCGUGCCAACGGUAAACGCUGGGUAGCUAUGUGUGGAGUGGAUAACCGCUGAAAGCAUCUAAGUGGGAAGCCCACCUCAAGAUGAG
RNAcentral lists this ribosomal RNA (1235 nucleotides) under metagenome. RNAcentral's name for it is "bacterial LSU rRNA". It matches the Rfam family "Bacterial large subunit ribosomal RNA", at positions 1564 to 2808 of the family's 2925-position model. The record is from RNAcentral.